RNAcentral lists this microRNA precursor (109 nucleotides) under Podarcis lilfordi (Lilford's wall lizard). The record is from RNAcentral. Lineage: Eukaryota; Metazoa; Chordata; Lepidosauria; Squamata; Lacertidae.
GUGUGAGAGAGAGAGAGAGAGAGAGAGAGAGAGAGAGAGAUUUUGUUUCUGCUUGCCUGCCUGCCUGCCUGCCUGCCUCUCUCUCUCUCUCUCUCUCCCUCCCUCCCCC